GAAGCAAAGCUCAGGGACAAGUGCGGUUGAGCCAUUACAUGGAACCCGCAUGUUUGUUGAUGAAAAGGAUGUGGAGGACUACCUGCUAUCACAUCUUGACAGCUCAAAGCCCCACGAAGACUUCAAUAACUUUAAGGCUGGCAACGUGUUGAGGACACAACAACAAGCAAAGAAACUUGAUGUUACAGGAGUGUUUGGAGCAUCCUGUCGUCAUGAAAUGCCCCUAAUGUUUGUCAACAUGAGCCAAGGAGAACGGCAAGUCUAUGCCAUUGUAGUGACAUCUCUUACUAUUUACCCAGUGUUCCAGAAUGAUAAUUCCCCUGUUUGAUUCUAGCUAUUCAUAAAAUGCCUAAAAUAGCAUGACCCUAACAUAAGCCAUAUUUUAUUUAAUUUUUUUAGUCACCAAAUAUAAACCUCAUGGAAUGUAUAUUAGAGAUUCCAAAAUAUUACAAAAUGUAAACUUUACCACAAUUCUAUGAUAUUCACUAAUAUAAGAAAACAUGAAAAAUGUUUUGGAUCAUUCUGAGUGUUCUUAUUGAGUAUUUAGGUAUUGAAUGUGAUGCUGGAGAUUGUAUAAUUAUUUGUAACUUUUCCUCAGUAUAAAGUGUUUUAUCAUUCACAUUUUUGUGUUGAAAUAGAUUAGCCUAUCCGCUGUGUGUCAUCGAUGCGCUACUUCAAAGAUGUGAGGACAAGAACAUACACCUGCGAGUAGUCUAUGACAUUGCCUGUGUUGUUGCCUCACAUUUGCAGGGGAGGGCAUACCACACAACAUCUCCUUGGCAGUACCAGCAUUUCAUGUUUAUGGACACAAAUUGCCCUGCCAGGUAAUUCACAUGACUUCAUAGGGACAUCAGGACAUGUUACACACAUCAUUCACUCCCUGUUUGGCCUCCAUUUUUCCUGUCUAUC
Tachysurus vachellii is the source of this 909-nucleotide long non-coding RNA. RefSeq lists it as uncharacterized. The record is from RefSeq and is a predicted model, not a curated record. The transcript has 3 exons. NCBI's taxonomy places the organism in Eukaryota, Metazoa, Chordata, Actinopteri, Siluriformes, Bagridae.